RNAcentral lists this long non-coding RNA (352 nucleotides) under Glycine max (soybean). RNAcentral's name for it is "long non-coding RNA (GMAX_LNC004320)". The record is from RNAcentral. Lineage: Eukaryota; Viridiplantae; Streptophyta; Magnoliopsida; Fabales; Fabaceae.
CCAACGAGCUCUUUUGGCUGAAAAAGUUGAAUAUCCUCCAUGGGCUUUGUGUUCCCCACUUACAUAAGAGAUUCUGUUAAGUUUUGUUGCAUGCCAGAUUUUAGCUGCAGCAAAAAUUUGAGUGAUCUUUGUUCCUUGAUCUCUUUUCUCCACUUGAUUUCUGGACCUGUUGCUCGUUGUGGCGAGUUUCUACAUUGCAUUCUUGAUCUCUGAUCCUUGUUUUUGCUGUGGUGAACUUCUGACUCUUUGAGGAGAGAAUUGAAUUGAUCUACUACUCUUCUUUUAUUUUCCUUUGAGUUUCCCCUGCUCUUAUGAAAUCACAAGAAAAAAACAUUAAAACUCUUUUUAUUUC